UGUGUGGUGCAUAACUUCAAAGGCAAGCAGUUGCUGAGUGGUGAAGACCCCCCACAGGAGAACAUGUCUAGAGUGGAGAGGCCACUGGAGAAGUACAUCACUUUGCAGAAUCACAUCGCCUUCGCUGAGGUCACAUGACGCUGAAUCGGCUGUUUGGCAAACCCAUUGGACAUCCACGCACUUCACCGUCCAAUCAAAAAUCGAAUAGCUCUUCACCGUCCAAUCAACAAAAAAAUAAUGGAAUAGUCAAGUUGCAACGCUAACUCAUUACGCAUGGCUACUGUAUGAGGUCUGUUAGUGUUGUUGUCUGUGAAGUCCCUGUAUCAUGGCCUAUAGAGCAGUCAGGGAAAACUCCUCAAAAGCAUGAUGGGAAAGGCCUUACUGGGUUUCUCCAUUUAUUUUAAUCUAUUUUGGGACUAAAUCCCCCAAGGAAGAAAAUCAACUGGAAUCAACUUGAAUUGACUGGACUCUUCUUUUACACGACAUGACCUGCUGUGACCCAGAUGCCUCUAUCCACUGAAGCAGAGAUAAUUCAUCCAUUUUCCCCCAAUGGGUUCUUAUUCAUCACUUCUAAAUAAUAAUUUUGUGUCUUUUCCAUCAGUAGAGAGGAACAGAGCAAAUUAUGGAUGUCUUCUGUUAUGUUUCCCCUUUGAAAACGAUAUUUUUGUAAAGCUCACUAAUUCACUUAACAGUCACAAAGGACAUAGCGACACACACCAGCACUGGUAAAAUCAAACCCGAGUCAAAAACCGCAGGCAAGAUGGCCGCCCAUACUGCUGCUGCUUCAAAAAUAUACGUGUCAAUUCGGGAAUAGUCAAAUCUGCUAACGUGUGCGUUGCAAGACUUAACUGUUUAGUGUUAUUAUAUUCAAAUUAUGAAAAUAAUAUAGCUGUAUAUAACGUAUACAUACUUCAAUUUCCUUUUUCCAAACAUUGCUGUCUAUUUUCUUAUGGUUGUGCACUGUAUGUACUGUGUGUGGUUGUUCACAAAAAUUACUGUCCACGUGUUGUUUAUUUUAUCAAUUGACUAUUAGUACUUGAUUGUUUUGCUAUCAUGAGAUGGCUAUACCAUGUUAAACAUCUAGGCAACACAUGGCUAUGUUCUAUCAUGAGAUAGCUAUACCAUAAUAAACUCUACAGGAUCGGUGCCCACCCCCGCGGAAUGGUUGAGCUAAUAUGUGCUAAUGUGAUUAGCAUGACAUUGUAAGUUAAAAUAACAUUUUCCAGGACAUGGGCAGAAAGCUUAAACUGCACUGUCCAAUUUACAGUAGCUAUUACAGUGAAAGAAUACCAUUCUAUUAUUUUAGGAGAAUUGUACAGUUAUGUAUCAAUAACCAUGUAUCAAUAAACCAAUUAGGCACAUUUGGGCAGACUUGAUACAAUAUUUUGAACAGAAAUGCAAUGGUUCAUUGGAUCAGUGCAAAACUGUGCCAUCUAGUGGCCAACAUCUAAAUUGAGCCUGGACUGGAAUAAUCAUUGUGGCCCGUUUUUGGCUUUUCAAAGAUGAUGAAAAAAACAUGAUCUUUAAUCAGAUCGAAUGUGUUCUAUUCUCCGACAUUCAUUUCACAUUUCCACAAAAAUUCAAAGAGUUUCUUUGCAAAUGGUAUCAAUAAUAUGCAUAUCCUUGCUUCAGGGCCUGAACUACAGGCAGUUAGAUUUGGGCAUGUCAUUUUAGGCAAAAUUUAAAUAAAAAAAAUAAAAAAAGGGUUGGAUCCUUAAAUAUACAUCUUGGCUACACAUGGCUAUUUUCUGAUUUUUUUAAUACUCUUGACUUUUGAAUAGUGUUAAUAUUUCCUGUUUUUAUGUUAUAUUAUAUUAUAAAAGUCUACUACAUAUUUCAUACUUUUUUCUUUUUCUUAAAACUAGUUUUGGUCAAUAGGCAACAAUUUUCAGUCUUUCAUGAUCCUUUUUUAAAUGGUGGCUUUGUAAGUUUAUUCUUUUUCGUCUUCUUCCAGGUUUGAAGUCAGAUUGUCACAUUGUCAUUACAGCAGAGUGAUUCAUUUUGUGUGGAUGCUAUUGAUAGUAUUCCCACCCAGUGAUUUUACCAUACUUGUAUUUCAUUCCUUUCUCUUUUUAACUUUAACAUCAAUCAAAUCAUGACCUUUCACACUGUAAGCAAAAUGAUAUGUACGGUCUUUCAAUAAAAAAAUAUCUAAA
Long non-coding RNA from Oncorhynchus masou masou (cherry salmon), 2156 nucleotides. RefSeq lists it as uncharacterized. Lineage: Eukaryota; Metazoa; Chordata; Actinopteri; Salmoniformes; Salmonidae. The transcript is spliced from 2 exons. The record is from RefSeq and is a predicted model, not a curated record.